This 1476-nucleotide long non-coding RNA is filed under the name Citrus sinensis (sweet orange). RNAcentral describes it as "long non-coding RNA (CSIN_LNC002875)". The record is from RNAcentral. Lineage: Eukaryota; Viridiplantae; Streptophyta; Magnoliopsida; Sapindales; Rutaceae.
ACAGUUCCUUCUGCCCAGUCCACAAUUUAUCUUCUUCCAUAUCAGAGGAGGAACUUAACAAAUUUAUGUUGCUUGCUCGGUCCAUAUUAUGAAGAUUCAUUACUCUUAUGAAGUUAUGAUGCAUGAUAUGAAAGGAGGUGAUACGAAAGUGUCCAUGUACGAUUAUUAUUUGCACGCACCAGAAUCUUCUCCAGACUCCAAUCCAAUUAGAAAAGAAGUGAAGUGGUGGUCUCCUGAAACCAAAAUUAGUAAAAACCAGAUGCCAAUGCAACUGGUGUAGGUAAUAUUAUGAAGAUUCAUUGUUUUCUCCAUCUUUAAUUUAUAUUUUAUUAUUUUUUAUUAGAGAGAGUGAGAAAAAUACUUUAAUUCUUAUUUAUUUUUUAAAAAAUAUUUAUUUAAUUAAAAUAAUAUUAAUUUAUUUUUAUUUAAAUAAUUUUUUUAAAAAUAACAUAUUUUUUUACUUUCUUUUAAAAUGUUGAUAGUGGCAUGGUCGUAAGGUUGGUAAAAUCUCAUGUAAAAAACAAGAAGUCUGUGAUUUGAAGUCAUCAAAAGAGUAUGUGGGUCGGAUGCCAAAAACAUGUUGCUAUUAAGACUCUCAUUAAUCAAAUAACACCCAAGCAUUUAUAGUGGCUCUAUUUGCAUAUGCCUAUCCAAUCCAUCACUGCACCAAAUGUAGAAGAAAAUUACAUCUAAAUCAGUUCUGUUCUGUCCAAUCUGGUUGCGCGUGCAGCGUGCCAACAAGUUGCAUUCCUAAGCUUGCUGUCUUCCCGAUGCGAGAAAUGUUGGAUGAUUGUGUUCAAAUAAGAGAUGAGAGUCGGAGAUGAGUGAGAUGAUUACACAGGUAGGAUUUGCUCUUGGUGGUGAAGGACAUGCAGAAAAAAGGGGGAGGAAAAAAAAAAUGAAGAUCAAAAUGUUUUUUUGAAGAGGUUUCAAUUUGUGAAGUGAGAACCGAUAAAACAGAACGCGCGUAAGGAGAAAUAACGAAGAAAAUAAGAAAUUCGCCACACACUACUGACACUACAUUUAUAGAUGCAUAACCUCAAGUAAAACAAAACACAUCAGCCACUGCAAUCAAACAAAUCAAAAAUCAAAAAUCAAAAUCACACACAAGUGAAUAACCAAAUAUCACCAUAUAUUAAUUAAUAAUUAUGAGAGUUCAAAUCCAUCCACAAUUUAUCUUCUUCCAUAUCAGAGGAGGAACUUAACAAAUUUAUGUUGCUUGCUCGGUCCAUAUUAUGAAGAUUCAUUACUCUUAUGAAGUUAUGAUGCAUGAUAUGAAAGGAGGUGAUACGAAAGUGUCCAUGUACGAUUAUUAUUUGCACGCACCAGAAUCUUCUCCAGACUCCAAUCCAAUUAGAAAAGAAGUGAAGUGGUGGUCUCCUGAAACCAAAAUUAGUAAAAACCAGAUGCCAAUGCAACUGGUGUAGGUAAUAUUAUGAAGAUUCAUUGUUUUCUCCAUCUUUAAUUUAUAUUUUA